RNAcentral lists this ribosomal RNA (253 nucleotides) under uncultured bacterium. RNAcentral describes it as "partial 16S ribosomal RNA". It matches the Rfam family "Bacterial small subunit ribosomal RNA", at positions 524 to 776 of the family's 1533-position model. The record is from RNAcentral.
GACGGAGGAUGCAAGCGUUAUCCGGAAUUAUUGGGCGUAAAGCGUCCGCAGGUGGCGAUUUAAGUCUGCUGUUAAAGACCAUAGCUUAACUGUGGGCAGGCAGUGGAAACUGGAUUGCUAGAGUGCGGCAGGGGUAGAGGGAAUUCCCAGUGUAGCGGUGAAAUGCGUAGAUAUUGGGAAGAACACCAGUGGCGAAGGCGCUCUACUGGGCCCCAACUGACACUCAUGGACGAAAGCUAGGGGAGCGAAUGGG